GAAAUAGUGGCUGAGAAAAAGUAAUAAAUUGUAAAUUUAUAAAUGGGGUUAAGAACUUCCUAUUUCA
Molecule: transfer RNA, 67 nt
Filed under: Curculionoidea sp. 23 KM-2017
Lineage: Eukaryota; Metazoa; Arthropoda; Insecta; Coleoptera
Description: tRNA-Tyr
Rfam family: tRNA
About the family: Transfer RNA (tRNA) molecules are approximately 80 nucleotides in length. Their secondary structure includes four short double-helical elements and three loops (D, anti-codon, and T loops). Further hydrogen bonds mediate the characteristic L-shaped molecular structure. tRNAs have two regions of fundamental functional importance: the anti-codon, which is responsible for specific mRNA codon recognition, and the 3' end, to which the tRNAs corresponding amino acid is attached (by aminoacyl-tRNA synthetases). tRNAs cope with the degeneracy of the genetic code in two manners: having more than one tRNA (with a specific anti-codon) for a particular amino acid; and 'wobble' base-pairing, i.e. permitting non-standard base-pairing at the 3rd anti-codon position.
Source: RNAcentral